GCCCCGCCCGGCUUCCCCCUCGCCCCGCGGCGGGCGCGAAAGAGACCCACAGCGGGACGUGAGCUGCCAGCGCCAGCGGCUUCGGGUGCGACGGCAGUGAGCUUUUUUGGGUUGCUGAGUUCUCAGGCAGAAAGGAUGAUGACCACAGGGGCAAGGCAGGAGCAACUUUGCUGAGACCUCUCCCUCUUGAGCCAUGUUUUCUCCAGGAGCAGACUACCCCUGAGUCUUAUCCUGGCCCACAAGGGGGGUAGGACAGCUGCCUGUCCUCUGAGAGGGUACCACACCCAGAUGCCUACAGCACAGAAGCCAAGUGAGGGUGGGUGACAAUACUGAAGGUCCAAGGCACAACCAAAAGGGCCGUUAGCUGGGGAGCACCAUGUAGAAAUGAGGUUCCAGCCCAGCCAGAUCUUUCAAGAAAAGCUGGAAGUACUUUUUUUUUUUUUUUUUAAGUGAAACCUUUAAUGUGAAUUUUAAAGUUGGUUACUAAUCCAAGUGAAAAGAGCCAAACCCAGCAUGUCCAGGGGCCCCAUGCAGCUUCACUGGCUGCCAGUUUGUGAUCCCUGACAUCCUUUCCUCCUCUCUGACCCAAAAGCUGAGCAAGAUAAGAAUCUGAAACUCAGAAUAGUGCCCAAGGGAAUGGGUGUCUGGAAGCCCUUUUCAUAUUUCAAAACUCUCAACCAUAAGAAAAGAAAGGCAUCUUUCAAGAGACUUGAAACAGAAAUUGCUGCUGCCCAAAAUCUGUCUUCCUAAACUUUCUGUUGCAGGUAAUAAUAAUAGCUCAUCUUCAGUGACCACUUGCUAUGUUUGUGGCAAAGUUCUAAGUGCUUUACCUAUGUUAUCUCAUUUUGCAGAUGAGACUGAAGCUCACUGAAGUUCCGUAAAUUGCCGAAGACUCCCAGCUAAAAGUGGCAGAGCAAGGACUCAAACCAAGGCAGACUUCUGGUUUCAGAGCCUUUCAAGUCCUAACCAGGUGAGAAUAAAACUUCCAACACACUUAUU
Sapajus apella (tufted capuchin) is the source of this 999-nucleotide long non-coding RNA. RefSeq lists it as uncharacterized. Lineage: Eukaryota; Metazoa; Chordata; Mammalia; Primates; Cebidae. The transcript has 2 exons. The record is from RefSeq and is a predicted model, not a curated record.